This 427-nucleotide ribosomal RNA is filed under the name uncultured archaeon. Its description in RNAcentral is "bacterial SSU rRNA". It matches the Rfam family "Archaeal small subunit ribosomal RNA", at positions 474 to 903 of the family's 1478-position model. The record is from RNAcentral.
UACCUGCAGCUCAAGUGGUGAUCAUUAUUAUUGGGCCUAAAACGUCCGUAGCCGGUUUAGUAAAUGCCUGGGUAAAUCGUGUAGCUUAACUAUACGACUUCCGGGUAGACUACUAAACUUGAGACCGGGAGAGGCUAGAGGUACUCCUGGGGUAGAGGUGAAAUUCUGUAAUCCUAGGGGGACCACCAGUGGCGAAGGCGUCUAGCUAGAACGGGUCUGACGGUGAGGAACGAAGCCCUGGGGCACAAACCGGAUUAGAUACCCGGGUAGUCAGGGUGUAAACGCUGCUUGCUUGAUGUUAGUUGGGCUCCGAGCCCAACUAGUGUCGGAGAGAAGUUGUUAAGCAAGCUGCCUGGAAGUACGGUCGCAAGGCUGAAACUUAAAGGAAUUGGGCGGGGAGCACAGCAACGGGUGGAGCGUGCGGUUU